GACGAACGCUGGCGGCGUGCUUAACACAUGCAAGUCGAACGGAAAGGCCCUGCUUUUGUGGGGUGCUCGAGUGGCGAACGGGUGAGUAACACGUGAGUAACCUGCCCUUGACUUUGGGAUAACUUCAGGAAACUGGGGCUAAUACCGGAUAGGAGCUCCUGCUGCAUGGUGGGGGUUGGAAAGUUUCGGCGGUGUGGGAUGGACUGGCGGCUUAUCAGCUUGUUGGUGGGGUAGUGGCUUACCAAGGCUUUGACGGGUAGCCGGCCUGAGAGGGUGACCGGGCGCAUUGGAACUGAGAUACGGCCCAGACUCCUACGGGAGGCAGCAGUGGGGAAUAUUGCACAAUGGGCGGAAGCCUGAUGCAGAAACGCCGCGUGCGGGAUGACGGCCUUCGGGUUGUAAACCGCUUUCGCCUGUGACGAAGCGUGAGUGACGGUAAUGAGUAAAGAAGCACCGGCUAACUACGUG
This 468-nucleotide ribosomal RNA is filed under the name uncultured bacterium. RNAcentral describes it as "partial 16S ribosomal RNA". It matches the Rfam family "Bacterial small subunit ribosomal RNA", at positions 28 to 507 of the family's 1533-position model. The record is from RNAcentral.